RNAcentral lists this long non-coding RNA (80 nucleotides) under Canis lupus familiaris (dog). RNAcentral describes it as "lncRNA (ENSCAFG00805014072.1, ENSCAFG00845020508.1)". Lineage: Eukaryota; Metazoa; Chordata; Mammalia; Carnivora; Canidae. The record is from RNAcentral.
GGAAAGGGUGGUAUGUAGGACAACUUUUCAAACAAGGAGACAGAACCAUGUGUGCAUCAUGAAAUCAAUUUGCUCCUAAU